This 374-nucleotide unclassified non-coding RNA is filed under the name Hevea brasiliensis (rubber tree). The record is from RNAcentral. Lineage: Eukaryota; Viridiplantae; Streptophyta; Magnoliopsida; Malpighiales; Euphorbiaceae.
CAUGCUCAGCCUCUUCUCUCAAUAGCCUUGCAUUUUCCUGCUCCAGUUGGGUCACAAGAGACUCUAGCUCUAGCGUAUAUGCCUGCUUGCGUUCCCGAGAACGAGCAGCGGAUUCCCUAUUCUUGAUCAUCCGUCUCUGUUUCUGCUGAGUGGCCUUGUCAACUGGUUCCUCAACAGCCCUUCUUUUCCCUCUUCCAACUCCAACGAUUCUCCCAUCGAUUCCACUCGCAUAUCCUCCCACCAUGGGACCUUCCAACUGCUGCGACGGAAUCUGAAGCUGAUUAUUAAGCGUGGAGUCCACAGCAAAACCCCCAGGUUCAGAAAUGACAGGAACCCUCACAUCGUCGUCACAAACAGCCCCAGCCUUAGACAAG